Molecule: transfer RNA, 82 nt
Filed under: Bacteroidia bacterium
Lineage: Bacteria; Pseudomonadati; Bacteroidota; Bacteroidia
Description: tRNA-Leu
Rfam family: tRNA
About the family: Transfer RNA (tRNA) molecules are approximately 80 nucleotides in length. Their secondary structure includes four short double-helical elements and three loops (D, anti-codon, and T loops).
Source: RNAcentral
GCACGUGUGGCGGAAUUGGUAGACGCACUAGACUUAGGAUCUAGCGCCUUCGGGCGUGGGGGUUCGACUCCCUCCACGUGCA